Molecule: ribosomal RNA, 781 nt
Filed under: uncultured Neocallimastigales
Lineage: Eukaryota; Fungi; Neocallimastigomycota; Neocallimastigomycetes; Neocallimastigales
Description: partial large subunit ribosomal RNA
Rfam family: Eukaryotic large subunit ribosomal RNA
Source: RNAcentral
AGAGAGAGACAUGCGCGCAUAUCAAUAAGCGGAGGAAAAGAAACUAACAAGGAUUCCCUUAGUAACGGCGAGUGAAGCGGGAAGAGCUCAAAUUUGAAAUCUUCAAGGUUCUACCUUGACGAAUUGUAGUUUAUAGAAGUGUUUUCUGUUAGUGGAGUGGCAAAAGUUCUUUGGAAUAGGACAUCAUAGAGGGUGAGAAUCCCGUAUUUGGUCAUUCCUCCUAGCGUUGUGAUACACUUUCAACGAGUCGGAUUGUUUGGGAAUGCAGUCCAAAAUGGGUGGUAAAUUUCAUCUAAAGCUAAAUAUUGGCGAGAGAUCGAUAGCGAACAAGUACCGUGAGGGAAAGAUGAAAAGAACUUUGAAAAGAGAGUUAAACAGUACGUGAAAUUGUCAAAAGGGAAGCGUUUGACACCAGUGUUGUUUUUCCGAAAAUCAAUUACGAAUGUUUUAUUUUUGAGGAGUUAUGACUUCAAUCGGCUUGCUCCUUUCUUUAUGAAACUUUCUUAAUGCACUUUUCGGUUAACAAGUCAACAUCAAUUUCUUUUGUUGUAAAAGGGUAAUGAGGAAGGUGGCUUGCGCUUUCGGAUAAAGUGUUUAUAGCCUUGUAUCCUCUGCAAUCGGAGAGAUUGAGGUCUGCAGCGUAGAUCCUUCGGGGUUAGAUACAUUUGGUGCUAAGUUAUAGCUUGUCAUAGACAACUUGUUGACUAUGUUUAGUCAUUGUAGCUUACUCGCUGACUGCUAUUUUACCUACGCUUAGGAUGUUGAUAGUCACAGCGUGUAC